RNA transcript from Lepidothrix coronata (blue-crowned manakin), 1910 nucleotides. It is a transcript of the gene named G protein-coupled receptor 157, with no coding region annotated. The record is from RefSeq and is a predicted model, not a curated record. Lineage: Eukaryota; Metazoa; Chordata; Aves; Passeriformes; Pipridae. The transcript has 5 exons.
AUGCCCGCCCCGCUGCCCCCGACGGAGCUGCUGGGCUCGGAGCGGGCCGUGGUGCUCGUGUCCUGUGUCCUGUCCUGCGUGGGCUCCUCGCUCCUGCUCUGCUCCCAGGCGCUGUGGCCGGAGCUGCGGACGCGGCCGCGGCAGCUCCUGCUCUACCUGUCGCUGGCCGACCUGCUCUCGGCGCUCUCCUACUUCUACGGGGUGCUGCAGGACUUCGACAGGACCUCCUGGGACUGCGUCCUGCAGGGCGCCCUGUCCACCUUCGCCAACACCAGCUCCUUCUUCUGGACCAUGGCCAUCGCCCUCUACCUCUACCUCACCAUCGUCAGGGGCUCGCCCACGGGCACGGGCUUGCUGUGCUGCUUCCACGCCGUGAGCUGGGGUGUCCCCCUCGGCAUCACGGUGGCGGCCGUGGCUCUGAAGAAGAUCGGCUACGACGCCUCCAACGUUUCCGUGGGCUGGUGUUGGGUCAACCUGGACGCCGAGGAUCGUGUCCUGUGGAUGCUGCUAACGGGGAAAGUUUGGGAGAUCCUGGCCUAUGUGACCCUGCCAGUGCUCUACAUCCUCAUCAAGAAGCACAUUAACAGAGCACACGCAGCUCUCUCAGAGUACCGCCCCAUCCUCUCGGGAGCACCUGCAUUCCAGCCCAGGACUUCCAUAGCGGAUAAGAAGUUGAUUCUCAUCCCUGUCAUCUUCAUCUUCCUCCGCAUCUGGAGCACUGUGAGGUUCAUCCUGACCCUCUGCAACUCCCCUGCCGUGCAAAACUCAGCCCUGGUUGUCCUGCACGGAAUUGGUAACACGUUCCAAGGAGGUGCCAACUGCAUCAUGUUUGUGCUCUGCACUCGGGUGGUCCGGGCUCGGCUGCUUUCCUUCAUCUGCUGCUGCAAACACGACGAGGGGGAUUGGUCCUGGCAAAGAUCAAACAGCUCCUGGCAGCGCCCAGAACCCCACAAGGACGUGCCAGGCCCUGAGCAGACAAAGCCACUGCUUUCCAGCACCUGAGCUGCCUCCACCUCAGCGCUGAGUCCUUCUUUCAUGGUAAAAAAAUCCAGUGUGUGGGAUCAUCCCGGAGUCCCACAGAGGGAGCUAAAGCCCGGGAAACGCGCCGCUGGAGAGGCUGCGCAGAUGGAAAAGGUCCCACUCCUCCUUGCCCUCACAUACCAAAGGCUUUGGACUUCAACUCUGCUCAGGAUCCUCUGGAAGAGACUGUUUGACUGCGCUCCAGUUUCCUGGUUUCCUUCCCUUCUUCCCCUCACCCUCCGCUAAAAAUCUUAGAAAUCGGUUUGGGGUUUUGCUUUUCUGUCUGACGAGGCGAAUGUGUGGCGAGUUCUGAGGUGAGCAAAUAUCACAGGGACAGGGAAACUUCAGUAGCUGUUGAGUAGGACUGUGCUGGGCAUGGAUUUCAGUCCUAGCGUGUCAGUCUUCCCGGGAGCUCCAGGCUGGCUCCUGUUCUUCACUUGAACACGGACAACAACGUGCAAACAAACGUCUCUGUUUGGUGGUGGUGGUGGUGGUGGUGGAUGGUUCCUCUGGAUGGUUCAUUCCUCCUCCUGGAUGGCUGAGGGCCUUCACCAUCAUCAGGGAUUGUGGUGGCAGCCCAGGAGCUGCCUCCUGAGGAAAUCUGAACUCUGCAGAGUGCCCUGGUGCUCAGGGAUGUUCCCCAGAGCCUCCCGCAAGGACAGCCCUCCCAGCAGUGCCUGGCCAGUGCUCUGAGCUCCAGAGCUCCCCUGCUGAAGGCUGCAGUCUGUUCUUGCUUUGGGAGUGUUGCAUCAGACCUGGGGAGGGGAUGGGGGUUGGUUUGCUUGGUUUACUAUUUGGAGAUAAUGUUUUACUUUAUUUACAGCUCCUCGUUUGCCUGGUGUUAAAAUAUUUCUCCAACUCGUACAAAAUAAAGUUUUGUUUCUUUACCA